GCAAGGUCUGUUGUGUCGUCUUUGCUGCUCGUGUCCUGUAGGAAAACAGACACACCAAGUUAACUGACAGCUUGUCGUUUUGAAUACAGUGACUUCAAAGAUAUAUUCGACGUGGAUCACUUCAAGGAAACAUUGAAGGAGGACAUUGUGGUUGUAGAUUCCCUACCACCAGCUUAUAGGAGGGUGAAGCCCUACGCGAGAGCGCCCACAUCCUGGUCCAGGGUAAGAGUCAAUAUGUCCUUACUGAUCAUAUAUAGACUGCAGGAACAUCAAAAGUUCAUUGUGUGUUUAAGCGCUCGCUCUGUUUUUGCAGGCUUCCUUUUACAGAGAUUUCUCAAAGAUACUGAAGAAGUACAAAGUAGUGAGAUUUACCCAUACGGAUUCACGGAUUGUCAACAACGGCCUCGCUCCUUCUCUCCAAAGGCUUCGAUGCCGUGCAAACUACAAAGCGCUUCAGUACAGGAAAGAGAUUGAAGAACUUGGUACUACCCUAGUUGAGAGACUGAAAAGGGGAUCAGACCAUUACAUCGCACUUCACUUAAGGUGAUUAUAAUUAAUACUCCUACAUCAAAACACUUCUUUCCUGCCGGGUUUUUUUUUUCUGCAGAUCACUGAUCCUUGAUUUUUAAUUUGCUUCUUCUAUUAAUUGCACAGAUACGAGAAGGACAUGCUGGCUUUCACUGGCUGCAACCACAACCUGACACUUCAUGAGGCAGACGAGCUGACUGAUAUGCGACUCAAAGUGAGACACUGGAAGGAGAAGGAGAUCAACAGCGGGGAGAAGCGGCUCCAGGGCGGGUGUCCCAUGACGCCUCGCGAAGCUGCUGUGUUCCUCAAAGCCAUGGGAUAUCCUUCCAGCACUAAAAUUUACAUUGUGGCUGGUGAAAUUUACGGGGCACACAGCAUGGAUGCGCUGAAAGCAGAAUACCCAAACAUUUACACGCACUACAGUCUAGCCACAGUAGAUGAACUAGAGCCGCUCGAGUUGUACCAGAACAGGCUAGCUGCUGUGGACUAUAUCGUGGCCCUGCAGAGCGAUGUCUUUGUGUAUACCUACGACGGAAAUAUGGCCAGGGCAGUUCAGGGUCACCGAAGAUUCGAAGGUUUCAGAAAAACUAUAAACCCCGACAGGUAAGUUCUUGGGAAUUCCAGGUAGAAUUUACUUAUUUUGAUCUUAAAAAUUCUUGGUCAUAACUUAUUUCUUGUUUGUAGGCUGAAGUUUGUAGAGCUCAUUGACAAACUCGACGACGGUUCCAUGCCCUGGGAUGAAUUCCAAAGUGAAGUGAGGAAGCAUCAUGAGGAUAGACUUGGAGGUCCGUAUGACAGAUUACCUGGUGAGAGUCCAAGGCAGGAGGAAUACUUCUACUCAAACCCUAUCCCUGGAUGCCUGUGCAAAAAGGUGCAGAGAGUAAAGUGAAGCAGGCUUGUCUCAAAGGGAAAUGGUUCGGUCUUCAGAGACGCUGCUGCCGGCUUGGCAGCAGGUGUAACACGGAUGGAGAUGACACUUCCUCCACAUGACAGGGGUGGCCGAAUAGAGAGGAUCCUAGUUAACUGACAGAGACCAGCCAUUUUGAUUUUGAUUAUUUCCUAGGCUGACUACACAUGUAGUUGAGGGCAUGGGGCCAAGAAUUGCAUUGUUGAGAGGAAACUUUUUCUACUGGAAAGAUGGAACGAGCACAGAGAUGUCGAAGUACUUGAAGGAUCAUACCAGCAAUUAUACAGGAGCAGCUAAAGUGAAAACACGUUAGGUCGAGGUCAUACACUCUCCUCAUGCUCGUGAUGCUUCCAAUUCGUUGUAGCAGUGACAUUAAACACUGGGUGGGUUAGUAAGAAUAAUGAUGUAUCAUGCUAUGUUUUUCGGCUGUAGAAAUCUGCUACCAGUCUAGACUGACAAUUGUCAAAAUACUUCUUAGUGUAGUUCAGAGCAAUAAAUUUUUUGUAAAUUUUAUAUAGGAUGUCACCUGACUGUAGCUGCUAGUAAACUCCAUCAAAAUUAAAAAAAAGGUUCGCAAAUGUGUGCUCCUUUAUAUAGAUGAUAUGGGCAGAUAUUAUCUCCUUCUUGAGGGUCUUAGAAAUUACAGAGAAAGGCAUACAAAAUGUAGGAGGCAGACUAGUUGAACCAUAAGCUUUCGACGGGAUCAGCCGAUCUGAAUACCUGGUUCUAUCCCCAAAUCCCCAAAUCGAUGUGGUAAUCUGGAUUGCGGAGGGGAUCUGGUCGCGAUCGUCAACGAGGCGAACAUAACGCAAGGACGGGGAAGAGAUGGACCUGGAGCUGUCGCCGUGCUCGCCAACAUCCUCUGCCGGCGGCCGCCUUCCGCCGCGCGUUGACCGAGCUGGCUGCAGCCGCGCCGGCCUGACGCUCGCGCUCGGAGAGCAUUUUAUUUUGUGCUGAUAACUCUGUAUUACCC
This 2408-nucleotide long non-coding RNA is filed under the name Triticum aestivum (bread wheat). RNAcentral describes it as "long non-coding RNA (TAES_LNC024231)". Lineage: Eukaryota; Viridiplantae; Streptophyta; Magnoliopsida; Poales; Poaceae. The record is from RNAcentral.